RNAcentral lists this ribosomal RNA (633 nucleotides) under Hepatozoon canis. RNAcentral describes it as "SSU rRNA". It matches the Rfam family "Eukaryotic small subunit ribosomal RNA", at positions 138 to 757 of the family's 1831-position model. The record is from RNAcentral. Lineage: Eukaryota; Apicomplexa; Hepatozoidae.
CAUGGAUAACCGUGGUAAUUCUACAGCUAAUACAUGAGCAAAAUCUCAACUUUAUUAGAAGAGACGCAUUUAUUAGAUAAAAAGCCAAUGCAUGCUUUUACAGUAUGAAAAUUGGUGAUUUAUAAUAACUUAGCAAAUCGCAAAGUGAAAACAGGCGAUAAAUCAUUCAAGUUUCUGACCUAUCAGCUUUCGACGGUAUGGUAUUGGCUUACCGUGGCAGUGACGGUUAACGGGGGAUUAGGGUUCGAUUCCGGAGAGGGAGCCUGAGAAACGGCUACCACAUCUAAGGAAGGCAGCAGGCGCGCAAAUUACCCAAUUCUAACAGUUUGAGAGAGGUAGUAACAAGAAAUAACAAUACAAGGCAGUUAAAAUGCUUUGUAAUUGGAAUGAUAGAAAUUUAAACCCUUUUUAAAGUAUCAAUUGGAGGGCAAGUCUGGUGCCAGCAGCCGCGGUAAUUCCAGCUCCAAUAGCGUAUAUUAAAAUUGUUGCAGUUAAAAAGCUCGUAGUUGAAGUUCUGCUAAAAGUAACCGGUCUGCUUUUAAUAAAAGUGGUAUCUUGGUAUGUAUUUAGCAAUGAUGUCCUUUGAAGUGUUUUUUACUUUAUUGUAAUAAAGCAUAUUCAGGACUUUUACUU